ACCGGCUUCUAUGAACACAAGCGCAGGGAGCACCACCCUGCAGGAAGCAGAUCAGGCCUGAAAAGGCUUGUUCCUAAGUGGUGGACCUGUUAACCUUGCAGUAUGAUGGAGAAUGAGAGAGGAAGACACUGGGCACCCUGAUUGGCCUCCAUGCGCACAUUCGAAGGUUUCUGGUCACAGAAAUUCAAAAUGACUGCAGAAGGCUGAAGAUCAUUUUCCAGUUGCCCUCCCAAGUUGCAGCUCAUACAUUUUCCAUGAAGUCCACCUGAAUUUUCAGUGCUGUUUCCUGCCUCUGCAAUCUUACGACACUUUUUAUUGUGUUUCAGCAAGGUGACAAUUUAUCACUUA
Molecule: long non-coding RNA, 348 nt
Organism: Mastomys coucha (southern multimammate mouse)
Lineage: Eukaryota; Metazoa; Chordata; Mammalia; Rodentia; Muridae
Exons: 3
Source: RefSeq, a predicted model, not a curated record